CCUACGGGUGGCAGCAGUGGGGAAUAUUGGGCAAUGGGCGCAAGCCUGACCCAGCAACGCCGCGUGAAGGAAGAAGGCCCUCGGGUUGUAAACUUCUUUUAUUCGGGACGAAACAAAUGACGGUACCGCAUGAAUAAGUCACGGCUAACUACGUGCCAGCAGCCGCUGCAAUACGUCGGUGGCAAUCGUUAUCCGGAUUUACUGGGUGUAAAGGGCGUGUAGGCGGGAGAGCAAGGCAGACGUGAAAUUCCAGGGCUCAACCCUGGAACUGCGGUUGAAACUGUUCGUCUUGAGUGCUGGAGAGGCAGGCGGAAUGCGGGGUGUAGCGGUGAAAUGCGUAGAUAUACGGAGGAACACCAGUGGCGAAGGCGGCCUGCUGGACAUUAACUGACGCUGAGGCGCGAAAGCGUGGGGAGCGAACAGGAUUAGAUACCCCAGUAGUC
This 443-nucleotide ribosomal RNA is filed under the name uncultured bacterium. RNAcentral's name for it is "partial 16S ribosomal RNA". It matches the Rfam family "Bacterial small subunit ribosomal RNA", at positions 338 to 795 of the family's 1533-position model. The record is from RNAcentral.